This 297-nucleotide ribosomal RNA is filed under the name uncultured bacterium. Its description in RNAcentral is "partial 16S ribosomal RNA". It matches the Rfam family "Bacterial small subunit ribosomal RNA", at positions 794 to 1086 of the family's 1533-position model. The record is from RNAcentral.
UCCACGCCCUAAACGAUGAAUGCUAGUCGUCGGGGAGCUCGUCUCUUCGGUGAUGCACUUAACAGAUUAAGCAUUCCGCCUGGGGAGUACGGUCGCAAGAUUAAAACUCAAAGGAAUAGACGGGGACCCGCACAAGUGGUGGAGCAUGUGGUUUAAUUCGAAGAUACACGAAGAACCUUACCUGGCCUUGACAUGGUAGGAACCCUUAAGAGAUUAGGGGGUGCUAGCUUGCUAGAACCUACACACAGGUGCUGCACGGCUGUCGUCAGCUCGUGUCGUGAGAUGUUGGGUUAAGUC